Molecule: long non-coding RNA, 368 nt
Filed under: Arabidopsis thaliana (thale cress)
Lineage: Eukaryota; Viridiplantae; Streptophyta; Magnoliopsida; Brassicales; Brassicaceae
Description: long non-coding RNA (ATHA_LNC000405)
Source: RNAcentral
AAAGACCAGACAGUCUGAACUCGGAUCCUCCCAGCCCACCUCAGAAUCAGUUAGGGCAACCUAUGGCUCCCCCAACUCAAAAUCAGUAUGGUCAACCUAUGGCUCCUGCACCUCAGUAUCAGUACGGUCAACCUAUGGCUCCACCGACUCAAAAUCAGUAUGGUCAACCUCUGGCUCCUCCGACUCAAAAUCAAUACGAUCAACCUCUGGCUCCUCCGACUCAAAAUCAAUAUGGUCAACCUAUGGCUCCACCAACUCCGCCCCCACCCGGACCAAACGAGGAUUCAAUGACUCCCCCACCUCAGAAUCAGAAUGGGGAUGGGCAGUUCAUGCCUCCUCCCACUUUGGACCAAGAUCCAAACGACCAG